UAGCAAUACUAGGUUGAGCCAGUGACGAACGGGUGCGUAACACGUGAGUCAUCUGCCUGAAAGUGGGGGAUAGCUCGCCGAAAGGCGAAUUAAUACCGCAUGUGCCCCGAAGCAAUUCGGGGUAAAGCCGGGGCAACCUGGCGCUUUUAGAUGAGCUCGCGGCCUAUCAGCUUGUUGGUAAGGUAACGGCUUACCAAGGCUUCGACGGGUAGCUGGUCUGAGAGGACGACCAGCCACACUGGAACUGAGACACGGUCCAGACACCUACGGGUGGCAGCAGUCGAGAAUUUUUCUCAAUGUGUUUUAACCCUGAAGGAGCGACGCCGCGUGGAGGAUGAAGGCUUUCGGGUUGUAAACUCCUGUCAUUUGGGAACAAUACCUUACGUUAACUGCGUGGAGGUUUGAUAGUACCAGAAGAGGAAGAGACGGCUAACUCUGUGCCAGCAGCCGCGGUAAUACAGAGGUCUCGAGCGUUGUUCGGAUUCAUUGGGCGUAAAGGGCGCGUAGGCUGCGGGGCAAGUCGGGUGUGAAAUCUCAGAGCUCAACUCUGAAACUGCACUCGAUACUGCUUUGCUAGAGGACUGGAGAGGAGAUUGGAAUUCACGGUGUAGCA
This 613-nucleotide ribosomal RNA is filed under the name uncultured Verrucomicrobiota bacterium. Its description in RNAcentral is "bacterial SSU rRNA". It matches the Rfam family "Bacterial small subunit ribosomal RNA", at positions 77 to 680 of the family's 1533-position model. Lineage: Bacteria; Pseudomonadati; Verrucomicrobiota. The record is from RNAcentral.